CCCCGGCCUCCCAAAGUGCUAGGAUUAGAGGCGUGAGUCACUGCGCCUGGCCCUUGAUGAGCUUUUAUUUAUGAAGUGCCUGACAUGGUGCCAAGGAUAAAGAACUGUGAAGAUUCUGCCUCUUACCGUUAGCAAAACUCGACUUCUAUCAACAAGGAUUUGAUGAGCACCUAAUAGCCGCCAGGCACUGUGUAAGGCAUGAGGAUCCCGUAUGAACAUGACAAAGUCCCUGGCCUGCCAGAACUAAUGGUCUAGGGGAAGGUGCAGAGAAAAAAAGUGGGCAAUUAUGAUAUAUAGUCCUGUGGGUGCUGCUCAGGUCAGGUGAUAUGGAAACAUGGAGAAAGGGCUCCUAACCCGGAUUGACGGAUCACAGAAGGCUGCCUGGAGGAGAUGGCAGGAGUGGAAGCCAUAAAGGAUAGGCAAGAGAUGGCCAGGAGACUGGAGGCAAGAGGUGGGCCUGCAGGGCACUGAACUGGAACUGCGUGGCGCGGAGGUGGGCAUCAGAAAGCCCGGGAAGGGGGAAUCUGGCUGGCAUCAUCACACAAAGGACGACCGAGUCACCGAGUGAGGAGAGCUGUGGGUCAUAACAGGAGAAGCAGCCGGCGGCAGAACACAGAGGGCCCUGAACAUUCAGGAGUCAGGCAAGGAGCACAAGGUCCUCGCUUCCCGGAGUUUCUGGACGUGAACAGAAAGCAACACUUUGAUGAUCAUGUGGGCAGGAGAGGGAUGAACUUUGGUGGGGUGAGGGGCAGGGAAACCGGACUUUUAGGCUCUCUGAGCAUCCCACCAAGUGGCUGUCGGUUCAGAAGACCUGUCCCCAGGGCGACUAAUGUCUGCACAAGAAUUGACUCAGGUGUUGCUGCUCUCAGUACGGUAGAAAAGGUUUCUAACAGUGGUGCGUUGGAGCUGCCCCAACCAGCACGUGAGAGCUGAUGGUUACAUGAUGAGGGCCAGGGGCUACGAAAUAAUACUCUGCUUUCCUCUCCUGCCUUCAGACCCAGCAGAGAAACAGGAAAUGAGAGGCAGACGAAAGGAGAUCAAGCUGUCAGCUUGAUUCCUGACACAGGCAUCAUCUUCAUCCCUAUACUGAACUUCCCAGCACUCACGCUCUGCAGACCUCCUUCUUCAGGGGACACUUCUCAAAAGAAGACAUUUAUGCGGCCAAAAAACAUCAUCACUGGUCAUUAGAG
Molecule: long non-coding RNA, 1190 nt
Filed under: Homo sapiens (human)
Lineage: Eukaryota; Metazoa; Chordata; Mammalia; Primates; Hominidae
Description: HSALNT0378882
Source: RNAcentral